ACUCCUACGGGAGGCAGCAGUGGGGAAUUUUGGACAAUGGGCGAAAGCCUGAUCCAGCAAUGCCGCGUGAGUGAAGAAGGCCUUCGGGUUGUAAAGCUCUUUUGUCAGGGAAGAAACGGUGAAAGCUAAUAUCUUUUGCUAAUGACGGUACCUGAAGAAUAAGCACCGGCUAACUACGUGCCAGCAGCCGCGGUAAUCCGUAGGGUGCAAGCGUUAAUCGGAAUUACUGGGCGUAAAGCGUGCGCAGGCGGUUUUGUAAGUCUGAUGUGAAAUCCCCGGGCUCAACCUGGGAAUUGCAUUGGAGACUGCAAGGCUAGAAUCUGGCAGAGGGGGGUAGAAUUCCACGUGUAGCAGUGAAAUGCGUAGAUAUGUGGAGGAACACCGAUGGCGAAGGCAGCCCCCUGGGUCAAGAUUGACGCUCAUGCACGAAAGCGUGGGGAGCAAACAGGAUUAGAUACCCUUGUAGUCCCAUGA
RNAcentral lists this ribosomal RNA (474 nucleotides) under uncultured organism. Its description in RNAcentral is "partial 16S ribosomal RNA". It matches the Rfam family "Bacterial small subunit ribosomal RNA", at positions 335 to 800 of the family's 1533-position model. The record is from RNAcentral.